This 468-nucleotide ribosomal RNA is filed under the name uncultured bacterium. RNAcentral describes it as "partial 16S ribosomal RNA". It matches the Rfam family "Bacterial small subunit ribosomal RNA", at positions 29 to 507 of the family's 1533-position model. The record is from RNAcentral.
UACGCACGCUGGCGGCGUGCUUAACACAUGCAAGUCGAACGGAAAGGCCCUGCUUUUGUGGGGUGCUCGAGUGGCGAACGGGUGAGUAACACGUGAGUAACCUGCCCUUGACUUUGGGAUAACUUCAGGAAACUGGGGCUAAUACCGGAUAGGAGCUCCUGCUGCAUGGUGGGGGUUGGAAAGUUUCGGCGGUUGGGGAUGGACUCGCGGCUUAUCAGCUUGUUGGUGGGGUAGUGGCUUACCAAGGCUUUGACGGGUAGCCGGCUUGAGAGGGUGACCGGCCACAUUGGGACUGAGAAACGGCCCAGACUCCUACGGGAGGCAGCAGUGGGGAAUAGUGCACAAUGGGCUGAAGCCGGAUGCAGCAACGCCGCGUGCGGUAUGACGGCCGUCGGUUUGUAAACCGCGUGCGCCUGUGACGAAGCGUGAGUGACGGUAAUGGGUAAAGAAGCACCGGCUAACUACGUG